RNAcentral lists this ribosomal RNA (253 nucleotides) under uncultured bacterium. RNAcentral describes it as "partial 16S ribosomal RNA". It matches the Rfam family "Bacterial small subunit ribosomal RNA", at positions 524 to 776 of the family's 1533-position model. The record is from RNAcentral.
UACGGAGGGUGCAAGCGUUGUCCGGAUUUAUUGGGUUUAAAGGGUGCGUAGGCGGCCUGGUAAGUCAGUGGUGAAAGCCCAUAGCUCAACUAUGGAACUGCCAUUGAUACUGCCAGGCUUGAGUACAGACGAGGUAGGCGGAAUUGAUAGUGUAGCGGUGAAAUGCAUAGAUACUAUCAAGAACACCGAUUGCGUAGGCAGCUUACUAGGCUGUAACUGACGCUGAGGCACGAAAGCGUGGGGAUCAAACAGG